Molecule: ribosomal RNA, 301 nt
Filed under: uncultured bacterium
Lineage: Bacteria
Description: partial 16S ribosomal RNA
Rfam family: Bacterial small subunit ribosomal RNA
Source: RNAcentral
CAGCAGCCACGGUAAUACGUAGGUGGCAAGCGUUAUCCGGAAUUAUUGGGCGUAAAGCGCGCGUAGGCGGUUUUUUAAGUCUGAUGUGAAAGCCCACGGCUCAACCGUGGAGGGUCAUUGGAAACUGGAAAACUUGAGUGCAGAAGAGGAAAGUGGAAUUCCACGUGUAGCGGUGAAAUGCGUAGAGAUGUGGAGGAACACCAGUGGCGAAGGCGACUCUCUGGUCUGUAACUGACGCUGAGAAGCGAAAGCGUGGGGAGCGAACAGGAUUAGAUACCCCCGUAGUCCCUGUCUCUUAUAC